UCUAAUAUGACAGAAUAGUGUAUAAAAUUUAAGAUUUUAAAAUGAAAUUUAUUUCUAUUAGAA
This 63-nucleotide transfer RNA is filed under the name Aulacus sinensis. RNAcentral describes it as "tRNA-Leu". The record is from RNAcentral. Lineage: Eukaryota; Metazoa; Arthropoda; Insecta; Hymenoptera; Aulacidae.